UACGGAGGGUGCAAGCGUUAUCCGGAUUUACUGGGUUUAAAGGGUGUGUAGGCGGACUUUUAAGUCAGGGGUGAAAUCCCGAGGCUCAACCUCGGAACUGCCUUUGAUACUAGUUGGUCUUGAAUGUUGUUGAGGUGGGCGGAACGGGUCAUGUAGCGGUGAAAUGCAUAGAUAUGACCCGGAACACCGAUUGCGAAGGCAGCCCGCUAAGCAACUAUUGACGCUGAGGCACGAAAGCGUGGGGAUCAAACAGG
This 254-nucleotide ribosomal RNA is filed under the name uncultured bacterium. Its description in RNAcentral is "partial 16S ribosomal RNA". It matches the Rfam family "Bacterial small subunit ribosomal RNA", at positions 524 to 776 of the family's 1533-position model. The record is from RNAcentral.